This 5157-nucleotide long non-coding RNA is filed under the name Pan troglodytes (chimpanzee). Its description in RNAcentral is "long non-coding RNA NONPTRT017222". Lineage: Eukaryota; Metazoa; Chordata; Mammalia; Primates; Hominidae. The record is from RNAcentral.
GGAAAGCCCCGCUCUAAUGGAGAUGGCAUCUUCUCCAGGGCUCUAUAGGGUGGAGAAGAUGAAGAAACCUGCACACAGCCCCCAUGAAGAUUCCAGUGUUGUGGCUGGGAAUCUCUGUCUCCCUUUAUGUUGGCUACAUGAAAAACGAGUGUUUGCUUACAGAGACCUGGUGGCCAUUAGAAGCAUCAUCCGAGGGUUCUCCAUAAACACGGUUAGCCUUCCAAGCUGCUGUCCUGCCAGUUGAUAUGAACGUGGCCUGUUCCUCACAGAAAGACUAACCCAUGGCACUGCAAGAAGAUAUCCUUGGAUCGUGGACAGAUUAACUGGAUUAACUGAAAAAAACACCCAUUCAGUCAAGAUUAUGGGUUUUGGAAAAAUCUUACUUUGCUGUGGAUUUAAAAUGAGGUGCAUAAUAUAAUGCCAACUCAUUCCAAGUGGUCAUUGGCAGACCAUUAGCUGGAAAAUUGCUUCCAGUUUUCAUCACUGUGCAUAACUCAAGUUCCCUUUGGGGAGCUAUCUGUGCCCUUCACUAGAAGUCCUGUUUUAGCAUGGCAACUACUGGAUUAUUUUAUUAUGUGUGCAGAUGGCAUGAUGUUUUAGAAAAAAAAAAUUACAGCAAUUCUGCAAUCUCAGUGGAAGUGUUCACAAUAUUAUGCCCUGGUAGGAAUGUAAACACGUCUCGAUUAUGUUAGUUAUGAUGUCUAAAGGUAUACUGUCCAACUCUUAAGCACUUUAUAUGAGAACACUACACCAAGAUGAAUCAGCACAUUCAGCACAUGUGAGAAAUCAAGUAUUUUCUUUUUAUUUUUAUAAAUCUUGGUGGUUUUUUUUUCUGGCUCAGACUGUCCAAGACAAACUCCACUACUCGCAUAUCCCCAGUUGUUUGUGGUAGGUUGAUGUAAAUAUGGCCACAAUACUGUUAGACUUCACCUCCAGAUACUUUAUUGAACAACUGGUUUACUUCUAGCACCAAAGGGAAGAAGAAGGGGGUCCAGUGAUGGUGAUAUCUUAGCUUGCUUCUUUGUUCACAGGCACUAUUGACCACAUGAACAUACAGGUACUCAAAUACAGGAGGCUUCUAUUUGGCUCCUCCAAGGGAGGAGUUCCUCCAAGGGAAAAAAGGGGAUGGUAUUCUUUUAAUCAAAGACCAUGGUGGAUGGAUGGUAAGGGCAACAGAAUGCAAUUCUUUUGUGUGGUCUGACGUUAACACUUCAGAAAAAAUUCUAAGUCAAGUUGAAAUCGCCAUUCUCUCAAGAGAGAAACAUCAAGUGACCCCACUAUGUGCCUAGAGAAGGAAAAGGGUCAAGUCCUAUACUAGGUUCCUUACUUAGUGUAGAACCUACUAGUCCCUUGUUAAUCCUUUCUGGGAUUAUGCCUGUGACUAAUUUUUUUUUUUAACUAUGUCUUACGACAAAGCACAGUCCUGGGAAACCAGUCAACUUAAUUGUUGCUUGUCUUUGAGCAUUAGAGACAUGUUCAUAUUGACUUGCUACAUAACACUGUAGCAUGUUUUUUCCUGAAAAUAUCAAGUUGGUUGAAUGGAAAGCUCAGCAAAGUAUGUUCUGUGUGCCCACUGUCCCAGCCUGGGACUGACGGGCAUCAGAGGCUUUGCUUUAAAAUAUGGGUAACCAGUUCUGGAAGACUUCCAACGCAAGCAAGCUUGGUGUUUUAGGGUGUCUCCAGAUACAUAAGCAUUGUCUGCCUCCGCUCAGGGUCUCAGGAAAUACACAGCCCAUUGGAAACCACCCCCGCCUGAGAUUUGGAAACCUGACGGAAAGGGAGGAAGGUCCAAAUGAGUCAGCAGCAGGAUGACUCACCACAAGCCUGGCAGGCUGCAGAGCCAGAGAAGGGGGCUUCCAACAAGGAACUCAGAGAAGUUGCAGUCACCACCAAGAUCUGGCCCUUCGGCAGGUCAGCACCAGGACUGCCAGGCCCUCUGCAGACCAUAAUUCUCUUCACAUCUAUAAUUAGGAGGCCAAACUCCAGCUGCCAACACCCUUGGACACAAUAUUCCAGUCUCCACUGCCCAUCUCAUGUGGUUCAGUUCUAAUAGCAGGUCUUCUUCUUCCUUUCAUUCCUUCCUUUAUUCAGCAAGCAUUUGUUGAGCAGCUACUAUGUGCCAAGCAUUGUGCUUGGGCAACAACAGUCCACAAAGCAGACUCCCCACCUGCCCUUAUGAAACUGUAUCUCCUCCUCCCAAACAUUAUCACCACCCCACCAUUUCCACAAUGAAAACAUAAUUCAGCCAGCAUUCUCCAUUCUGCCAGAGUAACCUAGGAAGAAGAACAUGGCAGCAGACGGAUCCUCAGGGAGGAGGCAGCAGAGUGACAGAUGGUAAACUGCAUCAGGCCACAUAUUUGCACCUUUCAGAUACAGCCAACUCUUCCAGGGCCUAGACUGAGCUGGUUGGAGCUCCCCAAAGCAGCAUUCGGUUGCUUUUCCUUGAUAUCCACCCUGGCUACCUAUAUUCCCUUUCUUUAUAUAGGCACAACCAUUCACCACUACGCUGGAUUAUCUAACACUCCAAUUCUAUAACUCAUCCAGGGGACACACAGUUGAGUCUGAUGAAGCCUAAGAACUGCCAGGUGCUGAGAUAUUGUAACUGGGAAUUAAGAUUUAGCCAAGGACAUUGUGAGACUACUGCUGACUCUCUUGGAAAACUGGACAUGCUUUGUAGUGCAAAUGUUCACUAAAUGAUGGUGGUUCAUUGUUACUUACUUUGGCCUUUGCAAAAUAUUCUGAACAAUUCAAUAAGUAGAGUUUCCUAGUUUGUUUGUUUGUUUUUUUAAGCCAAAGGAACGCUGUGAAAUUACUGAAAGAUGUUGGGUGAAGAGGGACCUAGGAGAAGGCAAAAUGAAGACCAUUAAAGAGCCCCAUUGAAGACUGUAUCUCUAAAAAUGCCUUAAUGCCUGGCACAUAUUCCAUAUUUGCAUAUGAACUACUAUUCUUUUCCAAACUGUCAACCUCUGUUUGAAAUCAUUGUGGGGGAUAGUUUGGAAACCUGGUGGCAUAAAAUCCAAGCAGUCAAGAGCUAAACCAGCAAAAAAGAGGAAUGACUUCAUUCGCAGGCUUUGGCUUCUUUAUUAUGUGGUGGUCCUCUGUGAUCUCCCACGGUUAACUUCAACUGUGCUGUACUUUCUUCCCAAGAUGCAUGUACGGAAUGUUACCUCCUAGAAAUCCAGAAAUAGUUGUGGUGAGUUUUGUUUGGUAGGAAGCAAGAGGUGGGGAAGUAAAGGAUACAUAUUUUUAUGUCUAAGGACUGUAAACUGUUGAUGCUUGACUUUUCCUUUUACCUACACCUGUGCUACACCUUUAUUAAAAGGCUGACACCCAGACUUGUGCAGGAAAGGCACUCUUGGGAAUGAACAGAAAUGAAUAAUUAUGAGACUUUCCGUGCUGCCAAGGGGAUUCGCUUAUUUCCACUCCAGAACUGAAUAUGCAGAGCAUUGCCAGUCCUGCUAGUGUGAAAAGCAAAUUACUUCAAUAGUUUGAGACGUACCUAGGGGAAGAGAGAUCCUAUCAACUUUCUUUGCGGGUAGUGGCGUACCUUCAAAUCCUUGCUCAGGCUCUGUGAGGUGUGCACCCGCAGAUUUCACUUCUACCUCCGGAAUCCUGGCAAACAAGCCAGAAAUCUCUCCAGAGUCACUUCGCAGUUGCUCAGAAAGAGGCUAACGGUCCUUAGUCCUGAGGAAAUUCUGCCAUUUUUAACAUUCAAGGAGAAAAGCCGUAUCAGCUGUUCGUGAGAAUACCAACUAAGGAUAAAAACUUCUGAUGGAUCCCCCUUGUUACUUGCAAAUGCUUUCUUUGUCUGCAAAUGUCACAUAAUUGAUUUUGGAUAGGAACAACAAAAGUCUCAAGGAAGUGAAGUUUUUAAUGCCCCCCUUGGCACUUUACUUUCAUCAAAACCUCCUCUUUCUAGUACAUGAGCAGUUUUGUUCUUUGUGAUGUUUUCCUCUACAUUCUUCAGAAUAAUUUUGUUACUUGACAACUAGACUUGUCAAUCGUCUUAGACUCUUUUUAAAAAUCUAAUCUUUGAAAAUGACACAAAUUCCUUUAUUGCUUUAAGGCUGUUUUUAUUCACCCCUCCCACAGCCCCCUCCACUGCACUUUUUUGUUUUUUGCGGGGAUUUUUUUCUUUCAUCUCUCUUCUUUUAACAUGACGCUGUGGGUAGUUUUCAAGAAUUCUAUAAAGAACUCAACAAAAAGUAUAUUCGUUACCUUUUUUCCCCAGUCCUAAUAUUUCUUCUUAAGCUUGAUCUUGGUGAAAACUUGUUGCCCAAAAAGCAGUGAGGUAGGGAUUAAUAACGCUGACCAGUCAUCUGGAAGAUUAAUUAAUCCCAGUGCAGCCCUGAGAUCAGGAAGGAGGACAGGCCAGGAGAUGUUUCUACUCCAGGCACCACUAAGGACUCUAUUUCAGAGGCAGAUCCUGCUCCUUAGUCUUUUUAGAUCUGAAUCUAAUCCUGAAUCCAGAAAAUUAUCCUAUGAAUUCUGGUUUAUCAACGCACGUGAUUCCUGGCACCACUGCAUAGCUUCAAGGUAAAAGAGAGCCUUGUUUCCAUUAUUUUGCUAUGGUGGCUUUUGGGAAGACAGAGAGCAUUCUUUUGAAAGCGGGAAACUUAAGGAAAAGUUGGCCAAGUGCACAGGAAAGUUCUACCACACCUUAAUGUAAAGAACAAAAUAGAUGCUUCUCAUUUGGGGAAAAUAGCUAAAAGGACAGUAACAGUACUGAUGGCCUUCUGGCCAUCACCUUAGCUCCACAGGGAAAAUUCUGGGUGAGAGCAAGCACUGUUUCUAAAAUCUAAAUUUUUUCAGGUGAAAUUUACCAGCAACAAAUGUAAAAGGGAACUGCCAUCAGGCAUAGGGCUAGUUUUAUACUUCCUGCCUAAUGGCAAAAUGACUGAGACAUGACUUCCAUGGAACAGCAGAAAAUGGAUGCCAAAGAUGUCAUAAAACUGAAGUUCAGUUUGCCACGUAAGGCUAUUUAAAAACCCUGAUGCACUCCAAGCACUCUUCCUUCAGAGCUUUCCUCCUACAAUUAUAUCAAGCACAAGAAGGCACCAACAGCAUAUACUUAAUGUAAUGUAAAAGUAACCAUAUGACUUGUGUUGAAUUACCAUUGGCUGGUUGACAUAAGUGUCAUAGAUAUUUAGACAUUAU